RNAcentral lists this ribosomal RNA (208 nucleotides) under uncultured bacterium. Its description in RNAcentral is "partial 16S ribosomal RNA". It matches the Rfam family "Bacterial small subunit ribosomal RNA", at positions 524 to 730 of the family's 1533-position model. The record is from RNAcentral.
UACGUAGGCAGCAAGCGUUGUUCGGAAUUACUGGGCGUAAAGGGUGCGUAGGCGGCUUUUUAAGUUUGGUGUGAAAUCUCCCGGCUCAACUGGGAGGGUGCGCCGAAUACUGAGAAGCUAGAGUGUGGGAGAGGAAAGUGGAAUUCCGCGUGUAGCAGUCGAAAUGCGUAGAUAUGCGGAGGAACACCGAUGGCGAAGGCAAUCCCCU